Molecule: unclassified non-coding RNA, 370 nt
Filed under: Hevea brasiliensis (rubber tree)
Lineage: Eukaryota; Viridiplantae; Streptophyta; Magnoliopsida; Malpighiales; Euphorbiaceae
Source: RNAcentral
AUCCUUGAUCAAUGUUGUAAGUUGUUCUCAGGUCAUUUCUUGAAUACUCGAUAUACUGUGCUUAACUUGAAAUUGAUGAAAGCGCGGAGACAAAAGAUGGACAAAAUGCGAAUCUGUUUUACUUGCAAUAAUUUCAAUGUGAAAACACAUAAUCUUUUUGGAAAUUUAUCACAAAUUGAUAAGUAGUUAUGGAAACCCUUUCAAUGUGAAAACACAUAAUCUUUUUGGAAAUUUAUCACAAAUUGAUAAGUAGUUAUGGAAACCCUCCACUUGUUCUUCUUCUUGAAAUCUAUCAACAUAUCUUCUUGUAUCAAAAUAUGUAGAUUCUUCAGAAAGGUUAUUUUAGUGAAAUUCUGAGUGAUUAGUGGCA